GUUUAGCGUUAUAAUGGAAUAUAUCUGCAAUAACUAGGAUAUAUAUGUGAACACUUGGCUCAAUGUUCAGAUUGGUGACUGCACUGCAAUAUUUGGAUUGACAUUGAAAGGGAGAUAACUCAUCAUAUUUCAUGUGAUUUUGUAUUCAUGUAUUUUUCCUAAUCUUUACCUUAUGCAAAUUUUGACCUUACAACUUUACAUAUUACAUGUAUUAACCAGUUUAUUGAAGAUUUGUGUCACCUUUUAUUCAUUUUUUGUUAUUUGGUUUUAUGUUAUUAUCAAUGUAACAUUGUUAUAGAUUCAACAGAGUUGAAUUUAAUAUAUAAUACAUAUCAGUUAAUUAACAGUGAAUUUUGAAUAUAUUUUUUACAACUGCAAAAACCAAAAGAUUGUGAUUGGUUGAAGUUCCUAGAGAAUGGAUAUUUGAAUGAUGGCAUUAAAUUUAUUGAAAUUACCCAUAUUGAUUUAAAUAAUAAGGACGCAAUUGCAUUCAAUUAAAGUACAUUGUUUGCAUUACAAUGUAUUAUAGUAUGUGGAAUCAUGUGUUAGAAUAAAAUAAGAAACGACAAUUGCCUAGAAAAUUAAAUUUCUUAAAAUUUGUCAUGAAAGAUUCACUGUUUAUGACAAUUUUUCUGUCGGAAUAUUUUUAUCUGUGUUGUUAAAGAUACUUCCCUGGUUAUUAUGUAUUAAAGUCAGCAUUUUUGUUUGAUUAAAGAGAAAAAAGUAAAUUUAAACUUACUAUUUUAUUUAAACUUUUUCUUAUGAUUUCUGUCAUGUUUACAUACAAUUUCUUACACAUUUUCCAAAGAUUUCAUUUUUUAAAUGAUAAGUAAUUUUUUUUCAAAAUUUUAGUAUCAGCUAGUAAAAGGAAUUUAAAAUCAAUUUUUAUUCCAGAAGAAAAAUCUCCAUUGCAUUUUUAAAAGAUCUGAUUUUUGUAUUUCGUGUAUCUAACUUACAUCAUGUUGAAAGAAGUGCUAUUGAUGAUAAAUAAUCAUGACAUUCCUAGAGUCUGUGAUCUGAAAAUACAUAUUGUGAUUUCAAUCAUUUUCGUGGGUACCAAUUUUCGUUGAUUAAAGAAAAUUUACAUGUUCAUAAAUAAAUUAAUUUCGUGCAUAAUGUGUAUGUACAAGCCUAUCGGAAAUUUGAAAUUUGUUGAAAAAAGAAUUUGUGGUACAUCUGUACCCUCAAAAUACACAAAAAUCGGUAUCCAACAAAUAAUAUAUUGAAUCCACAGUAUUCAUAUCUCAGGACAAAGUGCUAAAGAGAGUUUUGUUCAGACAUUUCCUACCAUUUCUGGUUUUGUGUUAUAAGUUAACCUUGUUACAGAUAUAACACAUUGUCUCACUUAUAUAUGUGAUAAUCUAUAUUGUAAUGGAAAUGUAGAUUGUUAUUUAAGGCUCACCGUGGUAAUAUUUCAACCUCACCCUGUUAUUAUAUAAAGAUCACAUGGUUAUUGUUUGAAGCUUGCAAUUAGAUGAGAUAAAAUCUUUUAAUUUAUGUAUCAACAAUGCUAAAAUUUCCUUCGAAAAUCAUUUUCUGAAUUUAAAACUGAAAGCAUUUCCUAUUCAAAUGAAAGGCUUUCUAGAGUUCCAUAAAAUCUCAUCCAAUUAUAAUGUUCCAGUUCUUUCCAGAAUGUCAAACAAUAUUUUAGCGAUGUAUUGAGAUUUAUUAGCAAUUGAUUAUAUUUGUUUUAGAUUAAAAAGUAUUUGAUUGUAAAAAUUAUGUCAGUCUCUUCCUGUUGAAAUGGACAUUACUCCUUUAUUUUCAUUUCAAUGGGACAUAACUCAUGCAUAUCAAAGGGAAAUAACUUGUGCAGAUCAAAGGGAAAUACCUUGUGCAUAUCAUCAUGACUCGAAUGAGACAUAUUUGUGUAUUCAAGUGAGCUUUUAUCCAAGAAUAUGUAUUUUUCAUAUUGUUUAUUGUGAUAAAAUAUGUGACAACAUUCCUAUAAUGACCUAUAUCAUGCAAUAUUUUUGUAAUGUCAACAUAUCUUUGUGAGUGUUACUGUGUAUAUACAUCUGGUGUCCCUUAUUUAACAUUUUAUAUAUUUCAUUACCAAACUAUACUACAUAUUCACUUGCUCAUGGCUGUAAUAGAAAUGUUACAAGAUUUUUUUAAUGUUGACCAAGACAAAACAAACAUUUACCCAGAAUUUCAUUAUUGACAAAGGGAGAUAAUUCAAUUCAAAAUAUAAAAUUUCACAUUGCGCAUUGGGGGUCUUCUCUUCAUGCUCCCACAUACUUUGGUGUGCCCUGUUAAUGAGUAAAAUCCUAUAUAAUAUUCAUAUUGGAUUUUUCAGUUUUUUAUUUCUGUUCAACUUGAAGGAUAUUUCAGAUUCUACACACACAAAAAAGCGAAGAAAAAAAAGCUCCUACUUGAGGUCUUUUUUAGAUUAAAUACCAAAUCAAAAUGAAGUGAAACAAUUAUAAGAUUUAGAAUUUUGGAAUGAAUUUAUGAUACUGUCCUUGAAUUCUGCUUAAUACAUUUUAAGUUAGUAUGGGGUAUUAAGAAUUACAUUUCCUAUAGGCUUAUCAUAACAGUUGGACAUUUUUUUUGCUCGUUUGUAUGUAAGACUUUAAUUGGUCAGUUCCUCUAUUUAAAAGAUAACUUUCAUCUAAAAUAAACUUUUUGCAGAAUAUGCAGAAAAAUGUGUAUUUUUUUUAUAUUUUCAAUGUAGUAAAUCUAGUACUAAAUAAUAUGUUGGACAAGGGUACCAGAUGUUGAUCUUAACAUAUCACAAUUAACUUUCAUUGUCUUUCAGUAUCCUAUUUAUAGAAUUUUGUAUGCAAGUUGAAAUAUUACUGGUUCCAUAUUUUUAAAAAUGUACAAUUAAUAUCAGAUAUUAUUUAUAUUCAUCCCUGUCUUAAUAGGGUGUGAAAUUUAUGAAAAAAUAAAUGUUUCAGCAAUACUAUAA
Long non-coding RNA from Mytilus trossulus (common blue mussel), 2914 nucleotides. RefSeq lists it as uncharacterized. Lineage: Eukaryota; Metazoa; Mollusca; Bivalvia; Mytilida; Mytilidae. The record is from RefSeq and is a predicted model, not a curated record. The transcript has 2 exons.